This 21-nucleotide non-coding RNA is filed under the name Rattus norvegicus (Norway rat). Lineage: Eukaryota; Metazoa; Chordata; Mammalia; Rodentia; Muridae. The record is from RNAcentral.
CAUUAACUUCCUAUAAAUUAU